This 23-nucleotide ribosomal RNA is filed under the name Pseudo-nitzschia pseudodelicatissima. RNAcentral describes it as "partial 28S ribosomal RNA". The record is from RNAcentral. Lineage: Eukaryota; Bacillariophyta; Bacillariophyceae; Bacillariales; Bacillariaceae.
CCGGAUCUCAGAUCAAGGCAAGA